GGGGAAUUUUGCGCAAUGGGGGAAACCCUGACGCAGUGACGCCGCGUGAACGAUGAAGUCCUUCGGGAUGUAAAGUUCUGUCAGGCGGGAAGAAACCUCCCCCCGAUGCAAAUCGGGGGGAAAUGACGGUACCGCCAGAGGAAGCACUGGCUAAUUCCGUGCCAGCAGCCGCGGUAAGACGGAGAGUGCAAGCGUUGUUCGGAAUUACUAGGCGUAAAGCGCGUGUAGGUGGUUAGUUAAGUCGGAUGUGAAAAUUCCAAGCUUAACUUGGAACUGGCAUUCGAAACUGGUUAACUUGAGUGUAGGAGAGGAGAGCGGAAUUCCUAGUGUAGCGGUGAAAUGCGUAGAUAUUAGGAAGAACACCGGUGGCGAAGGCGGCUCUCUGGCCUAAAACUGACACUGAGACGCGAAAGCGUGGGUAGCAAACAG
Molecule: ribosomal RNA, 429 nt
Filed under: uncultured bacterium
Lineage: Bacteria
Description: bacterial SSU rRNA
Rfam family: Bacterial small subunit ribosomal RNA
Source: RNAcentral